This 279-nucleotide unclassified non-coding RNA is filed under the name Hevea brasiliensis (rubber tree). The record is from RNAcentral. Lineage: Eukaryota; Viridiplantae; Streptophyta; Magnoliopsida; Malpighiales; Euphorbiaceae.
CCUUAAAAACUUCCAAAUUUUCAACACAACAAGUGCAAACACACCACUUUUGGGUGUACAUUUCCAAGAGAAGAGCAAUAAGAAUUUGAAAUUGUUCUUCUGAUUGUGAAUAUUCUUCAUAAUUGACGCCAUUAUAUGAUAAAUCAAACAUGUAUUUUAGGAAACAAUGCAGAUGCAGCUUUGCAUUGUGUGAGCAAAAACACAAGCAGGUGGCAUGCAUAAGUUAUGUGUCGUGAUUACACAUUUCUAAAGCACUUUGCAUCAAAUGAAGCAAUUCGG